CUGGCGGCGUGCUUAACACAUGCAAGUCGAGCGGUAAGGCCCUUCGGGGUACACGAGCGGCGAACGGGUGAGUAACACGUGGGUGAUCUGCCUCGUACUUCGGGAUAAGCCUGGGAAACUGGGUCUAAUACCGGAUAUGACCUUCGGAUGCAUGUCUGAGGGUGGAAAGAUUUAUCGGUACGAGAUGGGCCCGCGGCCUAUCAGCUUGUUGGUGGGGUAAUGGCCUACCAAGGCGACGACGGGUAGCCGGCCUGAGAGGGCGACCGGCCACACUGGGACGACACGGCCCAGACUCCUACGGGAGGCAGCAGUGGGGAAUAUUGCACAAUGGGCGAAAGCCUGAUGCAGCGACGCCGCGUGAGGGAUGACGGCCUUCGGGUUGUAAACCUCUUUCGACAGGGACGAAGCGCAAGUGACGGUACCUGUAGAAGAAGCACCGGCCAACUACGUGCCAGCAGCCGCGGUAAUACGUAGGGUGCGAGCGUUGUCCGGAAUUACUGGGCGUAAAGAGCUUGUAGGCGGUUCGUCGCGUCGUUCGUGAAAACUUGGGGCUCAACCCCAAGCUUGCGGGCGAUACGGGCGGACUAGAGUACUUCAGGGGAGACUGGAAUUCCUGGUGUAGCGGUGAAAUGCGCAGAUAUCAGGAGGAACACCGGUGGCGAAGGCGGGUCUCUGGGAAGUAACUGACGCUGAGAAGCGAAAGCGUGGGUAGCGAACAGGAUUAGAUACCCUGGUAGUCCACGCCGUAAACGGUGGGUACUAGGUGUGGGUUUCCUUCCACGGGAUCCGUGCCGUAGCUAACGCAUUAAGUACCCCGCCUGGGGAGUACGGCCGCAAGGCUAAAACUCAAAGGAAUUGACGGGGGCCCGCACAAGCGGCGGAGCAUGUGGAUUAAUUCGAUGCAACGCGAAGAACCUUACCUGGGUUUGACAUACACCGGAAACCUGCAGAGAUGUAGGCCCCCUUGUGGUCGGUGUACAGGUGGUGCAUGGCUGUCGUCAGCUCGUGUCGUGAGAUGUUGGGUUAAGUCCCGCAACGAGCGCAACCCUUAUCUUAUGUUGCCAGCGCGUAAUGGCGGGGACUCGUGAGAGACUGCCGGGGUCAACUCGGAGGAAGGUGGGGACGACGUCAAGUCAUCAUGCCCCUUAUG
RNAcentral lists this ribosomal RNA (1150 nucleotides) under Nocardia asteroides. Its description in RNAcentral is "bacterial SSU rRNA". It matches the Rfam family "Bacterial small subunit ribosomal RNA", at positions 36 to 1206 of the family's 1533-position model. Lineage: Bacteria; Bacillati; Actinomycetota; Actinomycetes; Mycobacteriales; Nocardiaceae. The record is from RNAcentral.